RNAcentral lists this small RNA (1265 nucleotides) under Penicillium rubens. RNAcentral describes it as "eukaryotic LSU rRNA". The stretch from base 564 to 1265 matches the Rfam family "Eukaryotic large subunit ribosomal RNA", at positions 1 to 716 of the family's 3401-position model. The record is from RNAcentral. Lineage: Eukaryota; Fungi; Ascomycota; Eurotiomycetes; Eurotiales; Aspergillaceae.
GGUUCCUUAUGGAAGUUAAAAAUCGUAACAAGGUUUCCGUAGGUGAACCUGCGGAAGGAUCAUUACCGAGUGAGGGCCCUCUGGGUCCAACCUCCCACCCGUGUUUAUUUUACCUUGUUGCUUCGGCGGGCCCGCCUUAACUGGCCGCCGGGGGGCUUACGCCCCCGGGCCCGCGCCCGCCGAAGACACCCUCGAACUCUGUCUGAAGAUUGUAGUCUGAGUGAAAAUAUAAAUUAUUUAAAACUUUCAACAACGGAUCUCUUGGUUCCGGCAUCGAUGAAGAACGCAGCGAAAUGCGAUACGUAAUGUGAAUUGCAAAUUCAGUGAAUCAUCGAGUCUUUGAACGCACAUUGCGCCCCCUGGUAUUCCGGGGGGCAUGCCUGUCCGAGCGUCAUUUCUGCCCUCAAGCACGGCUUGUGUGUUGGGCCCCGUCCUCCGAUCCCGGGGGACGGGCCCGAAAGGCAGCGGCGGCACCGCGUCCGGUCCUCGAGCGUAUGGGGCUUUGUCACCCGCUCUGUAGGCCCGGCCGGCGCUUGCCGAUCAACCCAAAUUUUUAUCCAGGUUGACCUCGGAUCAGGUAGGGAUACCCGCUGAACUUAAGCAUAUCAAUAAGCGGAGGAAAAGAAACCAACAGGGAUUGCCCCAGUAACGGCGAGUGAAGCGGCAAGAGCUCAAAUUUGAAAGCUGGCUCCUUCGGGGUCCGCAUUGUAAUUUGUAGAGGAUGCUUCGGGAGCGGUCCCCAUCUAAGUGCCCUGGAACGGGACGUCAUAGAGGGUGAGAAUCCCGUAUGGGAUGGGGUGUCCGCGCCCGUGUGAAGCUCCUUCGACGAGUCGAGUUGUUUGGGAAUGCAGCUCUAAAUGGGUGGUAAAUUUCAUCUAAAGCUAAAUAUUGGCCGGAGACCGAUAGCGCACAAGUAGAGUGAUCGAAAGAUGAAAAGCACUUUGAAAAGAGAGUUAAAAAGCACGUGAAAUUGUUGAAAGGGAAGCGCUUGCGACCAGACUCGCUCGCGGGGUUCAGCCGGCAUUCGUGCCGGUGUACUUCCCCGCGGGCGGGCCAGCGUCGGUUUGGGCGGUCGGUCAAAGGCCCUCCGAAGGUAACGCCCCUAGGGGCGUCUUAUAGCCGAGGGUGCAAUGCGACCUGCCUAGACCGAGGAACGCGCUUCGGCUCGGACGCUGGCAUAAUGGUCGUAAACGACCCGUCUUGAAACCCGGACCAAGGAGUCUAACAUCUACCCCAAGUGUUCGGGUGGCAAACCCCUGGCCCCA